This 422-nucleotide ribosomal RNA is filed under the name Sphingomonas hankookensis. RNAcentral's name for it is "bacterial SSU rRNA". It matches the Rfam family "Bacterial small subunit ribosomal RNA", at positions 1 to 456 of the family's 1533-position model. Lineage: Bacteria; Pseudomonadati; Pseudomonadota; Alphaproteobacteria; Sphingomonadales; Sphingomonadaceae. The record is from RNAcentral.
UAGAGUUUGAUCCAUGGCUCAGAACGAACGCUGGCGGCAUGCCUAACACAUGCAAGUCGAACGAUGCUUUCGGGCAUAGUGGCGCACGGGUGCGUAACGCGUGGGAAUCUGCCCCUUGGUUCGGAAUAACCGUUGGAAACGACGGCUAAUACCGGAUGACGACGUAAGUCCAAAGAUUUAUCGCCGAGGGAUGAGCCCGCGUAGGAUUAGCUAGUUGGUGUGGUAAAGGCGCACCAAGGCGACGAUCCUUAGCUGGUCUGAGAGGAUGAUCAGCCACACUGGGACUGAGACACGGCCCAGACUCCUACGGGAGGCAGCAGUGGGGAAUAUUGGACAAUGGGCGAAAGCCUGAUCCAGCAAUGCCGCGUGAGUGAUGAAGGCCUUAGGGUUGUAAAGCUCUUUUACCCGGGAUGAUAAUGACA